AGUAUCAUAGCCAAUGAAGUUUAUCCAAGGCAUGAUUAUUGCUAAUUGAAAACUUCUCCCUAU
Small nuclear RNA from Capra hircus (goat), 63 nucleotides. Its record names the gene U4. It matches the Rfam family "U4 spliceosomal RNA". Rfam says of the family: U4 small nuclear RNA (U4 snRNA) is a component of the major U2-dependent spliceosome. The structure of U4 snRNA from yeast and human has been reported. U4 snRNA presents a k-turn RNA motif in the 5p-SL related to recognition of Snu13 protein. The record is from Ensembl. NCBI's taxonomy places the organism in Eukaryota, Metazoa, Chordata, Mammalia, Artiodactyla, Bovidae.